This 484-nucleotide ribosomal RNA is filed under the name uncultured bacterium. Its description in RNAcentral is "partial 16S ribosomal RNA". It matches the Rfam family "Bacterial small subunit ribosomal RNA", at positions 30 to 507 of the family's 1533-position model. The record is from RNAcentral.
AUUGAACGCUGGCGGCAGGCCUAACACAUGCAAGUCGAGCGGAUGAAGGGAGCUUGCUCCUGGAUUCAGAGGCGGACGGGUGAGUAAUGCCUAGGAAUCUGCCUGGUAGUGGGGGAUAACGUCCGGAAACGGGCGCUAAUACCGCAUACGUCCUGAGGGAGAAAGUGGGGGAUCUUCGGACCUCACGCUAUCAGAUGAGCCUAGGUCGGAUUAGCUAGUUGGUGGGGUAAAGGCCUACCAAGGCGACGAUCCGUAACUGGUCUGAGAGGAUGAUCAGUCACACUGGAACUGAGACACGGUCCAGACUCCUACGGGAGGCAGCAGUGGGGAAUAUUGGACAAAGGGCGAAAGCCUGAUCCAGCCAUGCCGCGUGUGUGAAGAAGGUCUUCGGAUUGUAAAGCACUUUAAGUUGGGAGGAAGGGCAGUAAGUUAAUACCUUGCUGUUUUGACGUUACCAACAGAAUAAGCACCGGCUAACUUCGUG